This 452-nucleotide ribosomal RNA is filed under the name uncultured bacterium. Its description in RNAcentral is "bacterial SSU rRNA". It matches the Rfam family "Bacterial small subunit ribosomal RNA", at positions 29 to 524 of the family's 1533-position model. The record is from RNAcentral.
AACGAACGCUGGCGGCAGGCCUCAAACAUGCAAGUCUAGGGGGUGUAGCAAUACAUCACCGGCGGACGGGUGCGUAACGCGUGGGAAUAUACCUAUUGGUUCGGAACAACACAGGGAAACUUGUGCUAAUACCGAAUGUGCCCUUACGGGGAAAGAUUUAUCGCCAAUGGAUUAGCCCGCGUCCGAUUAGCUAGUUGGUGAGGUAACGGCUCACCAAGGCUCCGAUCGGUAGCUGUUCUGAGAGGAAGAUCAGCCACACUGGGACUGAGACACGGCCCAGACUCCUACGGGAGGCAGCAGUUGGGAAUCUUGGACAAUGGGGGAAACCCUGAUCCAGCCAUGCCGCGUGAGUGAUGAAGGCCUUCGGGUUGUAAACUCUUUCGACGGGGACGGAUAAUGACGGUACCCGUAGAAGAAGCUCCGGCUAACUUCGUGCCAGCAGCCGCGGUAAU